RNAcentral lists this ribosomal RNA (471 nucleotides) under uncultured Syntrophaceae bacterium. RNAcentral's name for it is "bacterial SSU rRNA". It matches the Rfam family "Bacterial small subunit ribosomal RNA", at positions 916 to 1381 of the family's 1533-position model. Lineage: Bacteria; Pseudomonadati; Thermodesulfobacteriota; Syntrophia; Syntrophales; Syntrophaceae. The record is from RNAcentral.
GACGGGGCCCGCACAAGCGGUGGAGCAUGUGGUUUAAUUCGAUGCAACGCGAAGAACCUUUACCUGGGCUUGACAUCCCAAGAAUCCCCUGGAAACAGGGGAGUGCCCUUCGGGGAGCUUGGAGACAGGUGCUGCAUUGGCUGUCGUCAGCUCGUGUCGUGAGAUGUUGGGUUAAGUCCCGCAACGAGCGCAACCCUUGCCUUUAGUUGCCAUCAUUCAGUUGGGCACUCUAGAGGGACUGCCGGUGUCAAACCGGAGGAAGGUGGGAUGACGUCAAGUCCUCAUGGCCUUUAUGCCCAGGGCUACACACGUGCUACAAUGGGCGGUACAAAGAGCAGCGAGCUCGCGAGAGUAAGCAAAUCUCAAAAAGCCGUCCUCAGUUCGGAUUGGAGUCUGCAACUCGACUCCAUGAAGUUGGAAUCGCUAGUAAUCGCGGAUCAGCAUGCCGCGGUGAAUACGUUCCCGGGCCUU